Molecule: ribosomal RNA, 474 nt
Filed under: uncultured bacterium
Lineage: Bacteria
Description: bacterial SSU rRNA
Rfam family: Bacterial small subunit ribosomal RNA
Source: RNAcentral
GGCGGCAUGCCUUACACAUGCAAGUCGAACGGCAGCACGGGAGCAAUCCUGGUGGCGAGUGGCGAACGGGUGAGUAAUAUAUCGGAACGUGCCCAGUCGUGGGGGAUAACGUAGCGAAAGCUACGCUAAUACCGCAUACGAUCUAUGGAUGAAAGCGGGGGAUCGCAAGACCUCGCGCGAUUGGAGCGGCCGAUAUCAGAUUAGGUAGUUGGUGAGGUAAAGGCUCACCAAGCCGACGAUCUGUAGCUGGUCUGAGAGGACGACCAGCCACACUGGGACUGAGACACGGCCCAGACUCCUACGGGAGGCAGCAGUGGGGAAUUUUGGACAAUGGGCGCAAGCCUGAUCCAGCAAUGCCGCGUGCAGGAUGAAGGCCUUCGGGUUGUAAACUGCUUUUGUACGGAACGAAACGGUGAGCUCUAAUACAGUUUGCUAAUGACGGUACCGUAAGAAUAAGCACCGGCUAACUACGUG